GCGUCGGUGGCACAGCGGUUAGGACGUUCGCCAACCAUGCACAUGGUCCAGGGUUCGAUUCCCUGCCGACGCA
Trichobilharzia regenti is the source of this 73-nucleotide non-coding RNA. The record is from Rfam. NCBI's taxonomy places the organism in Eukaryota, Metazoa, Platyhelminthes, Trematoda, Strigeidida, Schistosomatidae.